This 460-nucleotide ribosomal RNA is filed under the name uncultured bacterium. RNAcentral describes it as "partial 16S ribosomal RNA". It matches the Rfam family "Bacterial small subunit ribosomal RNA", at positions 338 to 795 of the family's 1533-position model. The record is from RNAcentral.
CCUACGAGAGGCAGCAGUGAGGAAUAUUGGUCAAUGGGCGUAAGCCUGAACCAGCCAAGUCGCGUGAGGGAUGAAGGUUCUAUGGAUCGUAAACCUCUUUUAUAAGGGAAUAAAGUGCGGGACGUGUCCCGUUUUGUAUGUACCUUAUGAAUAAGGAUCGGCUAACUCCGUGCCAGCAGCCUCGGUAAUACGGCGGAUCCGCGCGUUAUCCGGAUUGAUUGGGUUUAAAGGGUGCGUAGGCGGCCUUUUACGUCAGGUGGGAAAGUUGGUGGCUCAACCAGAGAAUUGCAGUUGAAACUGGGAGGCUUGAGUAUGUUUGAGGCAGGCGGAAUGCGUGGUGUAGCGGUGAAAUGCUUAGAUAUCACGCAGAACCCCGAUUGCGAAGGCAGCCUGCCAAGCCAUGACUGACGCUGAUGCACGAAAGCGUGGGGAUCAAACAGGAUUAGAUACCCGGGUAGUC